Molecule: long non-coding RNA, 273 nt
Organism: Helianthus annuus (common sunflower)
Lineage: Eukaryota; Viridiplantae; Streptophyta; Magnoliopsida; Asterales; Asteraceae
Exons: 3
Source: RefSeq, a predicted model, not a curated record
AGAAGCUGCUUUUCAAAAGCCUCAACCUGUGAUAAUAACUAUGACAUCAAUGAAAGUCUCUGAGUAUAAUGGAAAAUUCAACUAGGAUCUACCAACGCAACGACAAUUGUUAUCAAUCCAGAUAUUGAAGAUCUUGAAAAUUUCAUUAACAGGUUUGGAGUCAUUAGAGGGCGUUCUAAUACAUUCCCAACCACUUCUACAUCUCAAAUAUCUGGAGAGGAAGAACUAAACAGAUUAACCCUUGAAGAACUACUUCAAAAAUCUGCGAAAGAU